Molecule: ribosomal RNA, 503 nt
Filed under: uncultured bacterium
Lineage: Bacteria
Description: partial 16S ribosomal RNA
Rfam family: Bacterial small subunit ribosomal RNA
Source: RNAcentral
AACGAACGCUGGCGGCGUGCCUAACACAUGCAAGUCGAACGAGAAAGGGGCUUCGGCUCCGAGUAAAGUGGCGCACGGGUGAGUAACACGUGGGUAACCUGCCUCUCAGAUUGGUAUAACUCGUUGAAAGAUGAGCUAAUACCGAAUAAGACCACAGUUCCCGCGGUAACAGGGGUCAAAGGUAUCCUCUGCUUGCAAGCUAUCACUUAGAGAUGCACCUUCGCACCAUUAGCGAGUUGUUAGGGUAACUGCCUACCAAGGCAAAGAUGGUUAGCUGGUCUGAGAGGACGAGCAGCCACACUGGAAGGGAGACACGGCCCAGACUCCUACGGGAGGCGGCCGUAGGGAAGCUUGAGCCAGCGGCGAAAGCUUGACGAAGAAGCGCGGAGUCAGUGAGGAACGACUCCGGGUCGUAGAGCUCUGUCUGGAGGAAGGAAUGCUCUUGAGGUUAACAGCCUCGGGAGGUGACGGUAACUUCAAAGGAAGCACCGGCUAACUACGUG